Molecule: ribosomal RNA, 833 nt
Filed under: uncultured bacterium
Lineage: Bacteria
Description: bacterial SSU rRNA
Rfam family: Bacterial small subunit ribosomal RNA
Source: RNAcentral
AGAGUUUGAUCAUGGCUCAGGAUGAACGCUGGCGGCGUGCUUAACACAUGCAAGUCGAACGAUGAAGGGGAGCUUGCUCCUUGGAUUAGUGGCGAACGGGUGAGUAACACGUGAGUAACCUGCCCUUGACUCUGGGAUAAGCGUUGGAAACGACGUCUAAUACCGGAUAUGAGCUUCCACCGCAUGGUGAGGGGCUGGAAAGAAUUUCGGUCAAGGAUGGACUCGCGGCCUAUCAGGUAGUUGGUGAGGUAAAGGCUCACCAAGCCGACGACGGGUAGCCGGCCUGAGAGGGUGACCGGCCACACUGGGACUGAGACACGGCCCAGACUCCUACGGGAGGCAGCAGUGGGGAAUAUUGCACAAUGGGCGCAAGCCUGAUGCAGCAACACCGCGUGAGGGACGACGGCCUUCGGGUUGUAAACCUCUUUUAGUAGGGAAGAAGCGAAAGUGACGGUACCUGCAGAAAAAGCACCGGCUAACUACGUGCCAGCAGCCGCGGUAAUACGUAGGGUGCAAGCGUUAUCCGGAAUUAUUGGGCGUAAAGAGCUCGUAGGCGGUUUGUCGCGUCUGCUGUGAAAACUGGAGGCUCAACCUCCAGCCUGCAGUGGGUACGGGCAGACUAGAGUGCGGUAGGGGAGAUUGGAAUUCCUGGUGUAGCGGUGGAAUGCGCAGAUAUCAGGAGGAACACCGAUGGCGAAGGCAGAUCUCUGGGCCGUAACUGACGCUGAGGAGCGAAAGCAUGGGGAGCGAACAGGAUUAGAUACCCUGGUAGUCCAUGCCGUAAACGUUGGGAACUAGAUGUAGGGGCCAUUCCACGGUUUCUGUGUCGCAGC